RNAcentral lists this ribosomal RNA (246 nucleotides) under uncultured bacterium. Its description in RNAcentral is "partial 16S ribosomal RNA". It matches the Rfam family "Bacterial small subunit ribosomal RNA", at positions 87 to 334 of the family's 1533-position model. The record is from RNAcentral.
UUGCUCGAGUGGCGAACGGGUGAGUAACACGUGAGUAACCUGCCCUCGACUUUGGGAUAACUUCAGGAAACUGGGGCUAAUACCGGAUAGGAGCUCCUGCUGCAUGGUGGGGGUUGGAAAGUUUCGGCGGUUGGGGAUGGACUCGCGGCUUAUCAGCUUGUUGGUGGGGUAGUGGCUUACCAAGGCUUUGACGGGUAGCCGGCCUGAGAGGGUGACCGGCCACAUUGGGACUGAGAUACGGCCCAG